CAUGUCUUUUUGUAGUUAAUAUAAAGUCUAAUCUGCCCACUGAAUAUUUUUUGAAGGGCCGCAGUAACCUGACUGUGCAAAGGUAGCAUAAUCAUUUGUCUUUUAAUUGAAGGCUGGUAUGAAUGAUUGGACGAGGUAAAAACUGUCUCAUUAUUAAAAUAAUAAAAAUUUAGCUUUUUAGUUAAAAGGCUAAAAUUUUUUUGAAGGACGAGAAGACCCUAUAGAUCUUUAUAAAAAAUUGAUUUAAUAUAUUUUUAUAUCAAAAACUUUUUGAAUUAUUUUUUUAUUUUGUUGGGGUGACAUGAAAAUUAAUUUAACUUUUCAUAAUUUUAUUACAUUAAUUAAUGUUUUUAUGAUCCAUUAUUAUUGAUUAAAAGAAUAAGUUACCUUAGGGAUAACAGCGUUAUUUUAUUGGAGAGUUCAUAUUGAUAAUAAAGUUUGCGACCUC
Molecule: ribosomal RNA, 448 nt
Filed under: Halterina pulchella
Lineage: Eukaryota; Metazoa; Arthropoda; Insecta; Neuroptera; Nemopteridae
Description: partial 16S ribosomal RNA
Rfam family: Bacterial large subunit ribosomal RNA
Source: RNAcentral